GACGAACGCUGGCGGCGUGCCUAAUACAUGCAAGUAGAACGCUGAAGGAGGAGCUUGCUUCUCCGGAUGAGUUGCGAACGGGCGAGUAACGCGUAGGUAACCUGCCUGGUAGCGGGGGAUAACUAUUGGAAACGAUAGCUAAUACCGCAUAACAGUAGAUAUUGCAUGAUAUCUGCUUGAAAGGUGCAAUUGCAUCACUACCAGAUGGACCUGCGUUGUAUUAGCUAGUUGGUGAGGUAACGGCUCACCAAGGCGACGAUACAUAGCCGACCUGAGAGGGUGAUCGGCCACACUGGGACUGAGACACGGCCCAGACUCCUACGGGAGGCAGCAGUAGGGAAUCUUCGGCAAUGGACGGAAGUCUGACCGAGCAACGCCGCGUGAGUGAAGAAGGUUUUCGGAUCGUAAAGCUCUGUUGUAAGAGAAGAACGAGUGUGAGAGUGGAAAGUUCACACUGUGACGGUAUCUACCA
RNAcentral lists this ribosomal RNA (472 nucleotides) under Streptococcus sp. oral taxon 431. RNAcentral's name for it is "bacterial SSU rRNA". It matches the Rfam family "Bacterial small subunit ribosomal RNA", at positions 28 to 485 of the family's 1533-position model. Lineage: Bacteria; Bacillati; Bacillota; Bacilli; Lactobacillales; Streptococcaceae. The record is from RNAcentral.